Non-coding RNA from Mycena latifolia, 94 nucleotides. Lineage: Eukaryota; Fungi; Basidiomycota; Agaricomycetes; Agaricales; Mycenaceae. The record is from the annotation of a GenBank genome assembly.
GGCCAUAUGGCUUAGUGGUUAAAGCAUCGGACCACUGUGAUUUUGUUGACCUCUUGUGACUCCCCUCACGUGGGUUCGAAUCCCACUAUGGCCC